Molecule: ribosomal RNA, 506 nt
Filed under: uncultured bacterium
Lineage: Bacteria
Description: partial 16S ribosomal RNA
Rfam family: Bacterial small subunit ribosomal RNA
Source: RNAcentral
AGUGAACGCUGGCGGUAGGCCUAACACAUGCAAGUCGAACGGCAGCACAGGAGAGCUUGCUCUCUGGGUGGCGAGUGGCGGACGGGUGAGGAAUACAUCGGAAUCUACUUUUUCGUGGGGGAUAACGUAGGGAAACUUACGCUAAUACCGCAUACGACCUACGGGUGCAAGCAGGGGACCUUCGGGCCUUGCGCGAUUGAAUGAGCCGAUGUCGGAUUAGCUAGUUGGCGGGGUAAGGGCCCACCAAGGCGACGAUCCGUAGCUGGUCUGAGAGGAUGAUCAGCCACACUGGAACUGAGACACGGUCCAGACUCCUACGGGAGGCAGCAGUGGGGAAUAUUGGACAAUGGGCGCAAGCCUGAUCCAGCCAUACCGCGUGGGUGAAGAAGGCCUUCGGGUCGUAAAGCCCUUUUGUUGGGAAAGAAAGCCAGCUGGCUAAUACCCGGUUGGGAUGACGGUACCCAAAGAAUAAGCACCGGCUAACUUCGUGCCAGCCGCCGCAGUAA